AGAUUAUAAACAUACAAAUGUAAUAAAAAUUAUUGUUCGCGAAUAUUCAAUUUGGAAUGCGAUUUUGUUAAUAAAAAAAAUACUUAUAACUUAUGCAAAACCCAAGAGAGGCAUUUAUAUUUAUUUCUUUUGCGUUCAUUUUCAAAUUCGCCGUGCAUAUAUUUUUGUGCAUGGCGCUUGAGAGGGCAUCACGUGACUAAAAACGACCAACCAACGACCUCGCUUCGGCCAUCUUGGCAUCUUCAUCUUGGCGACCUUGCCUUGCCGUGGAUUGUUUUUAGUUGUUUGUAUUAUUUGUGCUUUUUAAGAAUAUUUUUUUAAUUCGGAUACUUUUAUAAUAGCUUUAAUAGUAUUAUUAACAUAGUGCAUAAAAUGGUGUCCUGUUUUUAACGCAGUUGGAGUAGCAGAAACAAAUGUAGAUAAAAAAAUCUGCAGGAAUAACGUUUCAAUUAUGACAGAAGCUCAAAACAAAUGACUGUGAAUGGAAUGAAAAGCCCUAUUAAAAGCUUUCCAGAAGAUCCUGCGAAGAAGACAUGAAGUAUAGAUCAGAUUUGUUAAUAGAGGAGUAUGUUCAAAACACUUUUUAGAAAAAGAUAUUGACAGAACUUCACUUUCAUCUGUUCGUUUGAGAGACUGUGCUGUUCCAAUAGCUUAUGUCACACAGAAUCAGCUGAGAGAAGUGGUCUACAAAAAACCAGAAAGGAAACGGAAUAUGUGGCUACGAAAAGCAAAAGAAAGGUUUACAAAGCAAAUGUGACACAUUUUUUUAUAAUAUUUAGGAAUGUCAGCAAAUUACAUUAAAAAAUGUAUGUAAAGAUUUUUUGCAAUAAAAAUGUUUAUAUUUA
Long non-coding RNA from Diabrotica virgifera virgifera (western corn rootworm), 845 nucleotides. RefSeq lists it as uncharacterized. The transcript is spliced from 3 exons. NCBI's taxonomy places the organism in Eukaryota, Metazoa, Arthropoda, Insecta, Coleoptera, Chrysomelidae. The record is from RefSeq and is a predicted model, not a curated record.